GAUGAACGCUGGCGGCGUGCCUAAUACAUGCAAGUCGAGCGAAUGGAUUAAGAGCUUGCUCUUAUGAAGUUAGCGGCGGACGGGUGAGUAACACGUGGGUAACCUGCCCAUAAGACUGGGAUAACUCCGGGAAACCGGGGCUAAUACCGGAUAACAUUUUGAACCGCAUGGUUCGAGAUUGAAAGGCGGCUUCGGCUGUCACUUAUGGAUGGACCCGCGUCGCAUUAGCUAGUUGGUGAGGUAACGGCUCACCAAGGCAACGAUGCGUAGCCGACCUGAGAGGGUGAUCGGCAACACUGGGACUGCGACACGGCCCAGACUCCUACGGGAGGCAGCAGUAGGGAAUCUUCCGCAAUGGACGAAAGUCUGACGGAGCAACGCGGCGUGAGUGAUGAAGGCUUUCGGGUCGUAAAACUCUGUUGUUAGGGAAGAACAAGUGCUAGUUGAAUAAGCUGGCACCUUGACGGUACCUAACCAGAAAGCCACGGCUAACUACGUGCCAGCCGCCGCAGUAA
RNAcentral lists this ribosomal RNA (515 nucleotides) under uncultured bacterium. Its description in RNAcentral is "partial 16S ribosomal RNA". It matches the Rfam family "Bacterial small subunit ribosomal RNA", at positions 28 to 523 of the family's 1533-position model. The record is from RNAcentral.